This 397-nucleotide ribosomal RNA is filed under the name Fulvetta cinereiceps (streak-throated fulvetta). RNAcentral describes it as "Alcippe cinereiceps (streak-throated fulvetta) partial 12S ribosomal RNA". It matches the Rfam family "Bacterial small subunit ribosomal RNA", at positions 542 to 1085 of the family's 1533-position model. Lineage: Eukaryota; Metazoa; Chordata; Aves; Passeriformes; Sylviidae. The record is from RNAcentral.
AAAUCAACAUUAUAACGGCGUAAAGCGUGGUAACAUGCUAUCCAAGUAACUAAGAUUAAAAGGCAGCUAAGUCGUCACAAGCCCAAGGUGCCCAUAAGGCCACUAUUCAAAGAAAAUCUUAGACUACCGAUUAAUUGAAAUCCACGAAAGCCAGGGCCCAAACUGGGAUUAGAUACCCCACUAUGCCUGGCCCUAAAUCUUGGCGCUCGAUCUUACCGGAGCGUCCGCCCGAGAACUACGAGCACAAACGCUUAAAACUCUAAGGACUUGGCGGUGCUCCAAACCCACCUAGAGGAGCCUGUUCUGUAAUCGAUGAUCCACGAUAUACCUGACCAUUCCUUGCCAUAACAGCCUAUAUACCGCCGUCGCCAGCCCACCCCCGUGAAGGCCCAACAGU